This 833-nucleotide ribosomal RNA is filed under the name uncultured Glomeraceae. Its description in RNAcentral is "eukaryotic LSU rRNA". It matches the Rfam family "Eukaryotic large subunit ribosomal RNA", at positions 10 to 694 of the family's 3401-position model. Lineage: Eukaryota; Fungi; Glomeromycota; Glomeromycetes; Glomerales; Glomeraceae. The record is from RNAcentral.
AUCAGGUAGGAACACCCGCUGAACUUAAGCAUAUCAAUAAGCGGAGGAAAAGAAAAUAACAAUGAUUCCCCUAGUAACUGCGAGUGAAGAGGGACAAGCUCAAAUUUUAAAUCUGUCGGGUUUUACCCGAUCGAGUUGCAAUUUGAAGAAGCGUUUUCUGCGUAUUUGGUCAGCCCAAGUCCUAUUGAAUGAGGCAUCAUGGAGGGUGAUAAUCCCGUCCGGUUGAUCAUUGCGUUUUAUGAUACGCUUUCUAAGAGUCAAGUUGUUUGGGAUUGCAGCUUAAAAUGGGAGGUAAAUUUCUCCUAAGGCUAAAUAACGGCGAGAGACCGAUAGCGAACAAGUACCGUGAGGGAAAGAUGAAAAGAACUUUGAAAAGAGAGUUAAACAGUACGUGAAAUUGUUGAAAGGGAAACGAUUGAAGCCAGUCGUACCUAUGGGUAAUCAGCCUUUUGGGUGUGAUUUUGUGGAGCGUGGAGAGUUAAACGCCUUCAUGCCUGCAUAUUCGUGCACUUUGGGUGUACUUGCCCGUGUGUAAGUUAACAUCAAUUUUGGUGGUCAUAAAAUGGCUGGAGGAAUGUAGCUUCGAUCUUGUAUUGAAGUGUUAUAACCUUCGGUAGAUGUGACGAUCGGGAUUGAGGAUUGCAACGGAUACCCUUCGGGGCUACCUGUCUGAUCUCUGAUUGUUGCUCUGGUGCCGAAAGCUUGCUUACGGUUAUCAAAGUCGAUGGUCAAUAGGUUAGAACGGGUUAAAUUCGUUAAGGAUGUUGACGUAAUGGCUUUAAACGACCCGUCUUGAAACACGGACCAAGGAGUCUAACAUAUAUGCGAGUGUU